RNAcentral lists this ribosomal RNA (428 nucleotides) under Clostridioides difficile. Its description in RNAcentral is "bacterial LSU rRNA". It matches the Rfam family "Bacterial large subunit ribosomal RNA", at positions 1769 to 2196 of the family's 2925-position model. The record is from RNAcentral. Lineage: Bacteria; Bacillati; Bacillota; Clostridia; Peptostreptococcales; Peptostreptococcaceae.
UCAGGUGGCCGCAGAGAAUAGGCCCAAGCGACUGUUUACCAAAAACAUAGGUUUCUGCUAAGUCGCAAGACGAUGUAUAGGAGCUGACGCCUGCCCGGUGCUGGAAGGUUAAGGGGAUCUGUUAGAGCAAUCGAAGCAGUGAACUUAAGCCCCAGUAAACGGCGGCCGUAACUAUAACGGUCCUAAGGUAGCGAAAUUCCUUGUCGGGUAAGUUCCGACCCGCACGAAAGGCGUAACGAUUUGGGCACUGUCGCAACAACAGACUCGGUGAAAUUGUAAUUCCGGUGAAGAUGCCGGAUACCUGCGACAGGACGGAAAGACCCCAUGGAGCUUUACUGUAGCUUGACCUUGGGUCUUGGUACUACCGGUCAAGGUGAGGUGGGGGGCCUUGCGACCCGGACGCCAGGUUCGGCGGAGCCGUCGGGGGG